GAUGAAGGAACGCAGCGAAAUGCGAUACGUAGUGUGAAUUGCAGAAUUCAGUGAAUCAUCGAAUCUUUGAACGCACAUUGCACCUCUCGGUAUUCCGGGAGGUAUGCCUGUUCGAGCGUCAUUUGUACCCUCAAGCUCUGCUUGGUGUUGGGUGUUUGUUCCGCCUCUGUGUGUGAACUCGCCUCAAAACAAUUGGCAGCCGGCGUACUUGUUUCGGAGCGCAGCACAUUUUGCGAUCCAGAUCAACGUACAGCGGCAUCCAAGAAGCCUUAUUUAACGCUCUUGACCUCGGAUCAGGUAGGGAUACCCGCUGAACUUAAGCAUAUCAAUAAGCGGAGGA
RNAcentral lists this unclassified non-coding RNA (340 nucleotides) under soil metagenome. Its description in RNAcentral is "partial contains 5.8S ribosomal RNA, internal transcribed spacer 2, and large subunit ribosomal RNA". The stretch from base 1 to 121 matches the Rfam family "5.8S ribosomal RNA", at positions 35 to 154 of the family's 154-position model. The record is from RNAcentral.